AGAGUUUGAUCAUGGCUCAGAACGAACGCUGGCGGCGUGGAUUAGGCAUGCAAGUCGAACGAUCCUUCGGGAUAGUGGCGAAAGGGUGAGUAAUACGUGGAUAAUCUACCUUUGAGAUGGGGAUAACCUUGGGAAACCGAGGCUAAUACCGAAUAAAACUACUUGGUCGCAAGACAGAGCAGUUAAAGGUCCUCGCAAGAGUUCCACUCAAAGAUGAGUCCAUGUCCUAUUAGUUAGUUGGUAGGGUAACGGCCUACCAAGACAAUGAUGGGUAGCCGGCCUAAGAGGGUGGCCGGCCACACUGGGACUGAGACACUGCCCAGACUCCUACGGGAGGCUGCAGUCGAGAAUCUUCCGCAAUGGGCGAAAGCCUGACGGAGCGACGCCGCGUGGAGGAUGAAGGCCUUCGGGUCGUAAACUCCUGUCAGCUUGGAAUAAAGGCUGCUUUACUGUAGCCUGACUGUACAAGCAGAGGAAGCUCCGGCUAACUCCGUGCCAGCAGCCGCGGUAAUACGGAGGGAGCUAGCGUUGUUCGGAUUUAUUGGGCGUAAAGGGCAUGUAGGCGGCUUCGUAAGUCGGGUGUGAAAGCCCACUGCUCAACGGUGGAAUUGCAUUCGAAACUGCGUGGCUAGAGUUCAGGGGAAGAGAGCGGAAUUCUCGGUGUAGCGGUGAAAUGCGUAGAUAUCGAGAAGAACACCAGUGGCGAAGGCGGCUCUCUAUACUGAAACUGACGCUGAGGUGCGAAAGCCAGGGGAGCGAACGGGAUUAGAUACCCCGGUAGUCCUGGCCGUAAACGAUGUGCACUUGGUGUUGGGCUGCGAGGCUCAGUGCCGGAGUUAACGCAUUAAGUGCACCGCCUGGGGAGUACGACCGCAAGGUUGAAACUCAAAGGAAUUUACGGGGGCCCGCACAAGCGGUGGAGCAUGUGGCUCAAUUCGACGCAACGCGAAGAACCUUACCGGGGCUUGACAUGCAGCUGCGCAUCCCGUGAAAACGGGACUCCUUCGAGGGUGCUGCACAGGUGCUGCAUGGCUGUCGUCAGCUCGUGCCGUGAGGUGUUUGGUUAAGUCCAGCAACGAGCGCAACCCUUAUCCUUAGUUGCCAGCAUUUCGGAUGGGCACUCUAGGGAGACUGCCCCAGUUAAUGGGGAGGAAGGUGGGGAUGACGUCAAGUCCUCAUGGCCCUUAUGUCCCGGGCUGCACACGUGCUACAAUGGCUGGUACAAUGGGUAGCAAAACCGUGAGGUUAAGCUAAUCCCCUAAAACCGGCCUCAGUUCGGAUUGAAGUCUGCAACUCGACUUCAUGAAGCUGGAAUCGCUAGUAAUGGCGCAUCAGCUACGGCGCCGUGAAUACGUUCCCGGGCCUUGUACACACCGCCCGUCACAUCCCGAAAGUUCGCUGUACCAGAAGUCACUGUACCAACCUCGUCUUCGGGCGAGGAGGAAAGUGCCGAAGGUAUGAUUAAUGAUUGGGAUGAAGUCGUAACAAGGUA
This 1492-nucleotide ribosomal RNA is filed under the name metagenome. Its description in RNAcentral is "bacterial SSU rRNA". It matches the Rfam family "Bacterial small subunit ribosomal RNA". The record is from RNAcentral.